This 558-nucleotide ribosomal RNA is filed under the name Bacillus halotolerans. RNAcentral's name for it is "bacterial SSU rRNA". It matches the Rfam family "Bacterial small subunit ribosomal RNA", at positions 56 to 596 of the family's 1533-position model. Lineage: Bacteria; Bacillati; Bacillota; Bacilli; Caryophanales; Bacillaceae. The record is from RNAcentral.
UGCAAGUCGAAGCGGACAGAAGGGAGCUUGCUCCCGGAUGUUAGCGGCGGACGGGUGAGUUACACGUGGGUAACCUGCCUGUAAGACUGGGAUAACUCCGGGAAACCGGAGCUAAUACCGGAUAGUUCCUUGAACCGCAUGGUUCAAGGAUGAAAGACGGUUUCGGCUGUCACUUACAGAUGGACCCGCGGCGCAUUAGCUAGUUGGUGAGGUAACGGCUCACCAAGGCGACGAUGCGUAGCCGACCUGAGAGGGUGAUCGGCCACACUGGGACUGAGACACGGCCCAGACUCCUACGGGAGGCAGCAGUAGGGAAUCUUCCGCAAUGGACGAAAGUCUGACGGAGCAACGCCGCGUGAGUGAUGAAGGUUUUCGGAUCGUAAAGCUCUGUUGUUAGGGAAGAACAAGUGCAAGAGUAACUGCUUGCACCUUGACGGUACCUAACCAGAAAGCCACGGCUAACUACGUGCCAGCAGCCGCGGUAAUACGUAGGUGGCAAGCGUUGUCCGGAAUUAUUGGGCGUAAAGGGCUCGCAGGCGGUUUCUUAAGUCUGAUGUG